This is a long non-coding RNA of Triticum aestivum (bread wheat), 575 nucleotides long. RefSeq lists it as uncharacterized. The transcript is spliced from 5 exons. Lineage: Eukaryota; Viridiplantae; Streptophyta; Magnoliopsida; Poales; Poaceae. The record is from RefSeq and is a predicted model, not a curated record.
UGAUAUUUACAAUUGAUAUUGCUAUAUUUGUUAUGCAGUGCAUCCUUUAAAUAAGCUACCAUAUUCUAAGCUAGACUCGAAGGCCAUUGGGAUAAAGAAUGGCGUAAUUUUUGUAACUUACAGCAGCUUGAUAGCAUCAUCCGAGAGAGGCCGUUCUCGUUUGCAGCAACUAGUCCAAUGGUGUGGACAUGAGUUUGAUGGUCUCAUAGUGUUCGAUGAGUGCCACAAGGCCAAAAAUCUGAUUCCUGAUGCAGGGAGCCAGCCCACCCGCACUGGUAAAGCAGUUCUUGAGAUCCAGGAAAAGUUACCUGAGGCCCGUGUUGUUUACUGCUCAGCAACUGGUGCAUCAGAACCACGGAAUUUGGGCUAUAUGGUUCGACUCGGACUCUGGGGGGACGGAACAUCAUUUCAGGAUUUUCCGCAAUUUUUAGGUGCUCUUGAGAAAGGUGGUGUGGGUGCCCUUGAACUUGUUGCCAUGGACAUGAAAGCUAGGGGUAUGUAUGUCUGUCGUACACUAAGUUAUAAGGGGGCAGAUUUUGAUACUGUGGAGGCUCCUCUUGAGGAAAGAAUGACGG